AUAGCGUAUAUUAAAGUUGUUGCAGUUAAAAAGCUCGUAGUUGAACUUCAGGCCUUGGCUGGGGGUCCGCCUCACGGCGUGUACUGUCGGCUGGGGCCUUCCCUCUUGGGGAACCCUCAUGCCCUUUAUUGGGUGUGGGGGGGAACCAGGACUUUUACUUUGAAAAAAUUAGAGUGUUCAAAGCAGGCCUAUGCCCGAAUACAUUAGCAUGGAAUAAUAAAAUAGGACGUGCGGUUCUAUUUUGUUGGUUUCUAGGAUCGCCGUAAUGAUUAAUAGGGAUAGUUGGGGGCAUUAGUAUUCAGUUGCUAGAGGUGAAAUUCUUGGAUUUACUGAAGACUAACUACUG
Molecule: ribosomal RNA, 346 nt
Filed under: uncultured eukaryote
Lineage: Eukaryota
Description: partial 18S ribosomal RNA
Rfam family: Eukaryotic small subunit ribosomal RNA
Source: RNAcentral